GUAGUCCACGCCCUAAACGAUGAUCACUGGGUGUUCGGGGAGCGAUCUCUGAGUACCGUAGCUAACGCGUGAAGUGAUCCGCCUGGGGAGUACGGUCGCAAGAUUAAAACUCAAAGGAAUUGACGGGGACCCGCACAAGCGGUGGAUGAUGUGGAUUAAUUCGAUGCAACGCGAACAACCUUACCUACCCUUGACAUGUCUGGAAGGCCGCCGAGAGGUGGUUGUGCCCGAAAGGGAACCGGAACACAGGUGCUGCAUGGCUGUCGUCAGCUCGUGUCGUGAGAUGUUGGGUUAAGUCCCGCAACGAGCGCAACCCUUGUCCCUAGUUGCUACGCAAGGGCACUCUAGGGAGACUGCCGGUGACAAACCGGA
This 372-nucleotide ribosomal RNA is filed under the name uncultured bacterium. Its description in RNAcentral is "bacterial SSU rRNA". It matches the Rfam family "Bacterial small subunit ribosomal RNA", at positions 790 to 1167 of the family's 1533-position model. The record is from RNAcentral.